CCYAUCUUCUGAGAGGCAAACUUGUUCAUCUUGUUUGUUUUUGGUGUCAUUAAGCUGGCUAUUGACAUGUCUAUCCAAUGAGACCAAGAUCUUAUAAACCCACAUGUUUUGAGAGAACUACAGCCAUUUUAAUGACGACUGGAUUGGUAAAGGUUCAUUUAAUCUUUUUUUUUGUCCCUACUGUAAUAUGAGUCAAGUUUUCAUCUGGUCUUUAUUUUGAGAGAUUUGGGUUUUAGUCAUUCUGGUUAAUAUUGUUAAGGGGUGUUGGUCACCGACUUGCUAGACAAACUGAGAUACAUUAGCUAGAUCCUAGAAUCACUACAAAGAAAAAUCGGCUAAGCUGGCGGUUGUAAGACGGCAGUCAUAAGAAACACCAGCCUUGAUGCAUCAAUGGUGGCGGUUUUAUCAUAACUGCCACCAUUGAAUUAAACCGAGGAAAUGGUUAAAACAGGGUGGCGGUUCAGUAAACUAAACCGGCGGUAUUUGCAUUGAACUAGCCGAUUCAGUGAAUCAAAACCGGUUCAAUGCUUUCCCUCCAUUUCUAAAAUAAUGGAGUCACGCGAUUUCUACGAGCAAUAUGACUCCUCUUCUCUACUUUCUCUCCUACACAACUCCACUUCUCCACUUUCUCUCCCACACAACAACAAUGAUAUGAAAAGUUUUCUUCAUUGAUCAAGAUUCUGAAUGAUUGAGGUCGGAUUUAUAUUCAAUCGACACAUUGAGAGCUAUGAAAUUAACAGAGAAGUCGAGAAAGGGCGAGAACAGCUACUGCUCUACACUCCUACGGUGACGAGGCUCGGCUCUUAAACUUUUUCAAGAGGAUCUUGCGCUAUUUGAUAUUCAGGAGGGGGUAACUUUCCAGUGGGGAGCUUUAGAAACAAAGCUGGUUGGACUCCUGGAAGCAGAAUAUCUAGCUAAGCUGUUUAGGAGACGAAUUCAAUGCCAGUAGCUGUAGAAGCUCUCAGUUGUUUGGAAUUUGGAAG
Nelumbo nucifera (sacred lotus) is the source of this 983-nucleotide long non-coding RNA. RefSeq lists it as uncharacterized. Lineage: Eukaryota; Viridiplantae; Streptophyta; Magnoliopsida; Proteales; Nelumbonaceae. The record is from RefSeq and is a predicted model, not a curated record.